GAGUUUGAUCCUGGCUCAGGACGAACGCUGGCGGCGCGCCUAACACAUGCAAGUCGAACGGAGCUUAGAGAGCUUGCUUUUUAAGCUUAGUGGCGAACGGGUGAGUAACGCGUGAGUAACCUGCCCUGGAGUGGGGACAACAGUUGGAAACGACUGCUGAUACCGCAUAAGCCCACGGUGCCGCAUGACACUGAGGGAAAAGGAUUUAUUCGCUUUAGGAUGGACUCGCGUCCAAUUAGCUAGUUGGUGAGGUAACGGCCCACCAAGGCGACGAUUGGUAGCCGGACUGAGAGGUUGAACGGCCACAUUGGGACUGAGACACGGCCCAGACUCCUACGGGAGGCAGCAGUGGGGGAUAUUGCACAAUGGGGGAAACCCUGAUGCAGCGACGCCGCGUGGAGGAAGAAGGUUUUCGGAUUGUAAACUCCUGUCGUUAGGGACGAUAAUGACGGUACCUAACAAGAAAGCACCGGCUAACUACGUGCCAGCCGCCGCGGUAAUAC
This 503-nucleotide ribosomal RNA is filed under the name uncultured bacterium. Its description in RNAcentral is "bacterial SSU rRNA". It matches the Rfam family "Bacterial small subunit ribosomal RNA", at positions 9 to 526 of the family's 1533-position model. The record is from RNAcentral.